This 69-nucleotide transfer RNA is filed under the name Ochthebius sp. IBE<ESP> AN77. RNAcentral's name for it is "tRNA-Gln". The record is from RNAcentral. Lineage: Eukaryota; Metazoa; Arthropoda; Insecta; Coleoptera; Hydraenidae.
UAUAUUUUAGUAUAUGAUGUACAAGAAUUUUUGAUAUUUUAAGAAACAGUUUAAUUCUGUUAGAUAUAA